Molecule: transfer RNA, 91 nt
Filed under: Crocinitomicaceae bacterium
Lineage: Bacteria; Pseudomonadati; Bacteroidota; Flavobacteriia; Flavobacteriales; Crocinitomicaceae
Description: tRNA-OTHER
Source: RNAcentral
ACGGCAGUGACGCUAGUGGCAAGCACUCGACUAAUAAUCGAAGGAUGUCUUUCAGUAGAUGUAGGGGUUCGAUUCCCCGACUGCCGACCCA